UGGGGAAUUUUGGACAAUGGGCGAAAGCCUGAUCCAGCAAUGCCGCGUGUGUGAAGAAGGCCUUCGGGUUGUAAAGCACUUUUGUCCGGAAAGAAAUCCUUGGCUCUAAUACAGUCGGGGGAUGACGGUACCGGAAGAAUAAGCACCGGCUAACUACGUGCCAGCAGCCGCGGUAAUACGUAGGGUGCAAGCGUUAAUCGGAAUUACUGGGCGUAAAGCGUGCGCAGGCGGUUUGCUAAGACCGAUGUGAAAUCCCCGGGCUCAACCUGGGAACUGCAUUGGUGACUGGCAGGCUAGAGUAUGGCAGAGGGGGGUAGAAUUCCACGUGUAGCAGUGAAAUGCGUAGAGAUGUGGAGGAAUACCGAUGGCGAAGGCAGCCCCCUGGGCCAAUACUGACGCUCAUGCACGAAAGCGUGGGGAGCAAACAGGAUUNGAUACCCUGGUAGUCCACGCCCUAAAACGAUGUCAACUAGUUGUUGGGGAUUCAUUUCCUAGUAACGUAGCUAACGCGUGAAGUUGACCGCCUGGGGAGUACGGUCGCAAGAUUAAAACUUAAAGGAAUUGACGGGGUCAUAGCUGUUUCCU
Molecule: ribosomal RNA, 585 nt
Filed under: uncultured bacterium
Lineage: Bacteria
Description: partial 16S ribosomal RNA
Rfam family: Bacterial small subunit ribosomal RNA
Source: RNAcentral